CUACCAUGCAAGUCGACGAUGAAGCCCAGCUUGCUGGGUGGAUUAGUGGCGAACGGGUGAGUAACACGUGAGUAACCUGCCCUUAACUCUGGGAUAAGCCUGGGAAACUGGGUCUAAUACCGGAUAGGAGCGUCUACCGCAUGGUGGGUGUUGGAAAGAUUUAUCGGUUUUGGAUGGACUCGCGGCCUAUCAGCUUGUUGGUGAGGUAAUGGCUCACCAAGGCGACGACGGGUAGCCGGCCUGAGAGGGUGACCGGCCACACUGGGACUGAGACACGGCCCAGACUCCUACGGGAGGCAGCAGUGGGGAAUAUUGCACAAUGGGCGAAAGCCUGAUGCAGCGACGCCGCGUGAGGGAUGACGGCCUUCGGGUUGUAAACCUCUUUCAGUAGGGAAGAAGCGAAAGUGACGGUACCUGCAGAAGAAGCACCGGCUAACUACGUGCCAGCAGCCGCGGUAAUACGUAGGGUGCGAGCGUUAUCCGGAAUUAUUGGGCGUAAAGAGCUCGUAGGCGGUUUGUCGCGUCUGUCGUGAAAGUCCGGGGCUUAACCCCGGAUCUGCGGUGGGUACGGGCAGACUAGAGUGCAGUAGGGGAGACUGGAAUUCCUGGUGUAGCGGUGGAAUGCGCAGAUAUCAGGAGGAACACCGAUGGCGAAGGCAGGUCUCUGGGCUGUAACUGACGCUGAGGAGCGAAAGCAUGGGGAGCGAACAGGAUUAGAUACCCUGGUAGUCCAUGCCGUAAACGUUGGGCACUAGGUGUGGGGACCAUUCCACGGUUUCCGCGCCGCAGCUAACGCAUUAAGUGCCCCGCCUGGGGAGUACGGCCGCAAGGCUAAAACUCAUAGGAAUUGACGGGGGCCCGCACAAGCGGCUGAUCAUGCGGAUUAAUUCGAUGCAACGCGUAGAACCUUACCAAGGCUUGACAUGUUCUCGAUCGCCGUAUAGAUACGG
Molecule: ribosomal RNA, 950 nt
Filed under: Micrococcus luteus
Lineage: Bacteria; Bacillati; Actinomycetota; Actinomycetes; Micrococcales; Micrococcaceae
Description: bacterial SSU rRNA
Rfam family: Bacterial small subunit ribosomal RNA
Source: RNAcentral